RNAcentral lists this long non-coding RNA (207 nucleotides) under Mytilus galloprovincialis (Mediterranean mussel). The record is from RNAcentral. Lineage: Eukaryota; Metazoa; Mollusca; Bivalvia; Mytilida; Mytilidae.
CCGUCCGUCUGUUAUUCAGUAUUCGUACGAGAACACAUAUGAAACUUUGCUUUCGACAAUUUUGAAUAAACUUAACUAUUCACAUUUAUGUAGGGGCUGCAUUAAACAGAGGAAGUUCGAUCCUUUGUAUUGUGAAUCUUUUAUGAUAUCGGAAAUUCGUUACCGGCUGAAUCAGCUGUUGGGUCAUUUUUUAACGUCUCCCGGCCG